Sus scrofa (pig) is the source of this 2539-nucleotide non-coding RNA. Lineage: Eukaryota; Metazoa; Chordata; Mammalia; Artiodactyla; Suidae. The record is from RefSeq and is a predicted model, not a curated record.
CGGACGGACGGACGGACGACGGUUGGAUGAGGUUGAAGACGACUCUGCGAAGCCGUCAUUGGUGGGGGUUCCUGAGAGGACGCACUCAUCUAGGGCGGGAAGAUGUUCCGAAUCAAAUGACUCACAGCCCGAGGAGGCGGAAGAAAAAGACCCCUGGCUCCUGUCUGAGGCCGUGUUCUGCAGAAACACCCCCUGAGGGAGGAUUCGCAUGGAAGCCCCUGCUAUUGGCUAAACUGCGCCCCCCAAACUCCUGUGUGGAAGCCUUAGGCCCCACUGUGAUGGUAUUUGGAGGUGCAACCUUUGGGAGGAAAUUGGGGUUCCAUGAGGUCGUGAGGGUGGGGCCUUGUGAUGAUAUCAGGGCCCUUAUAGGAGAGACACUGGAGAACGUGGUCUCUUUCCGCCACGAGGACGUAGCAAGAAAGCAGCCAUAUGUGAACCAGGAGAAAGGCUUUCACCAGAACCUGCCACGAGGACGUAGCAAGAAAGCAGCCAUAUGUGAACCAGGAGAAAGGCUUCCACCAGAACCUGCCACGAGGACGUAGCAAGAAAGCAGCCAUAUGUGAACCAGGAGAAAGGCUUCCACCAGAACCUGCCAUGACGGCACCCUGAUCUUAGACCUCCGGCUUCCAAGACUACAAGAAAAAUAGUCUGCUGUUUGAGCUGCCCAGUUUGAGGUCUUUUGUUAUGCAGCCAAGCUGAUAGAUGCAGUGAUUAGGAGAAAGUGUCCCCAGGCUUGGCCUGGGACAGGGGAGGCAGACCCACCCACUGCCAAGGGGAAACCCUCCCCCCCGAUUCAGCACUUUUGGCAUCGCUGCUGCCCUCAUCUCCAGAGGUCCUCUGGGUGCCAUGGUACCCAGGCAGACCUAACAAGCAAAGGAGCAGGGCCCUAACACACCAGGGGCUGCAAGAGGCUACCCCAAGGCCACGGCCUCUGCUGCACCAGACGGGGCCACCGGCAGAUAGAGGGCUGUCACAGCUCUCCUGGAAGGACAGAGGGCCAAGGGCAGUUUGAUCAGAUGUCACCUACAUAUGUGGUGGGAGAGAGGGCAGGGAUAGACCCUGCAACACCUUGGCUUCUAGGGAAGAAGGAAGCUGAACGGGCCUGGCCAGCAGGAUUUGGGACUAUUCCACAAACGUGGUUUAGCAAAUGGUUGAUUCCCACCGGCAGCCUCAUCACACACACACACACACACACACACACACACACACACACACACACUCACACACUCCCCAGACCACAUGGCUCUUCCUGGGUGCUAAUAGCCACACCUGGUGUGUGGUGGCAGGCGUGCUGCCCUUCACGCAUUCGCUGGCAAGUGCUCGUGGACCUGCGUCUCCAGGUACUGGCUGAGGAGUUGGGGGGAGCAGUGUGGAAAUGGACUCAGCGUGCAGCAUGAGGGGCUGCCCAGGAGCCCACGGAUUCCCCAGCGGCAUCAUGUAGGUCGGGCCGCACGGGGUGAGGCGAGCGAGGCACCAGGGCUCAAUGCAAGGCAGCCUCACUCUCGGGCUCACACAGGUGCGCGGCCAGCAUCCCAGGUGAGAGAAACACAGGUGAGGAGCGUGGAAGGUAAAAAGACCUCACCAGGCCUGCGCCUGGAGCCUCUCGGGAAGAGGAGGAACGGGAGACGGGAGCAGGGGGCCCUCAGAGGAGGGAGCCCAGGCCCACAGGCAGCGGACAGCACAGCGGGAGGCCGGAGGGGAGCAGAGGCCAGAUGGCCUCAGACCACAGGGCGGCAGACCGUCGCAAGUGCAGCGGAUCACAGAACCUUCUAGAAGGGCUGCCUCUCAAGGGAAGCAGCUGUCAAUCAUCAGUGCAGUCCCAGCAGGGGGUGAACUUCUCCGUACCUCACCGAGCUCCCAGGACAAAGUGUGCUUGGUCUGAAGCAGUCUGCGGAGAAGGUAGCGUGUCAUUUAUCUUCUAGAGGGAAAUGCUGAUUUCUUCCGGGGCAGUUUCCCUCCAGUAGAAAACAAAGCUGGAACACAUAACACAUUCCCCCCCCACACACACUCACUCAUAUGCAAAUUAAAAAUUAGCAUUAUGAUGCGAGGAAGGGGGUUAGGAAAGGAAAGGUGGAGAGAAGGGCGCCCUGGAGCCUUGUGACCCAGUGUGACAGGAGGCUGUGGAUUCUAACCUUCUGUCGAGGACACCAUAGGUACCUGGACUUUGGCCUCGUAUAGGGACAAGAUCUAGAAGGCGACACAGACCAGUAAAACUGUUUGGAUUUAGGGAAGGGGCUGUGGCCAGUUUUUGCUCUGGGUUUCUAUUAUUUUGAUAUAAGUCCUUCAAUAAUGAAAUAAAAAUUCAAAAGGCAUAAGGCAGGCAAUGGACUUUAGCAAAGGUUUUGAGACAGCUGAUGCCUUGCCAUAGAUUUCAAAAUACCAGGUUACCCAGUAAGCCCUAAAUUACAACUUAGGGAAGGUAUGUGAAUGGCCGUUCACUUAACUGGUCACCACAGGUGCACUUACUAUUUGCAGGACCCAUGAAGGGAACCCAGAGACACGCCAAGAAGUAGGAGCUGCAGGCCUGGUGUCCUCCCUG